Molecule: ribosomal RNA, 433 nt
Filed under: uncultured bacterium
Lineage: Bacteria
Description: partial 16S ribosomal RNA
Rfam family: Bacterial small subunit ribosomal RNA
Source: RNAcentral
AACGAACGCUGGCGGCAUGCCUAACACAUGCAAGUCGAACGAAACCUUCGGGUCUAGUGGCGCUCGUGUGCGUAACGCGUGGUAACCUACCCUUAGGUUCGGAAUAACUCCCCGAAAGGUGUGCUAAUACCGCAUAAUCUCUUCGGACCAAAGAUUUAUCGCCUUUGGGUGGGCGCGCGUUGGAUUAGCUGGUUGGUAGGGUAAAAGCCUACCAAGGCGACGAUCCAUAGCUGGUCGGAGAGGAUGAUCAGCCACAAUGGGACUGCGACACGGCCCAGACCGCGACGGGAGGGAGCAGUGGGGAAUAUUAGACAAGGGGCGAAAGUCUGACCCAGCAAUGCCGGGUGAGUGAUGAAGGCCGUAGGGUUGCAAAGCCCCUUUACACGGGAUGAUAAUGACGGUACCGGGAGAAUAAGCACCGGCUAACUACGUG